Acinonyx jubatus (cheetah) is the source of this 5151-nucleotide long non-coding RNA. RefSeq lists it as uncharacterized. Lineage: Eukaryota; Metazoa; Chordata; Mammalia; Carnivora; Felidae. The transcript has 3 exons. The record is from RefSeq and is a predicted model, not a curated record.
UCUUCCUGCUGGCCUGGCCAGGGCCCAGCGUCACACUUUCCCUGAAGCUCGCCUGCUUCUGGGGGGAGGGGAGGCUGGAGGUGCACUGCCCACUCAUAACUGGGGUGACACCUGGUCUCUCUCCAUCUCUUACUGGGGUGCUUCUCGGGUGUGGCAGGCUGGGGCGCACUGUGGGUCCCUGCUUGCGCUGGCUGCUGGGGUAUUCCCUUUGGUCCCUAACCACCCAGCUCAAAGCUGACAGGGUGAGGGGGGUCCUUCAUGGAGUGAACUAUCCCUGCGGCCAAAUGAUGGUGAUAGGGCACAGGCUUAAAUUCAGAAACACCCCCAGGCAGAGCAGAGUACGUAAAGUUAAGGUCAGCAGGAAAGCAGACCCACCCCGGUUCUGGACAGACAGAACGCUGUGUUGCCAUCAGGGACUGCACUUGAACUUCCUUUACGGCUGGGACCACCGAGCCCAGGUUUCAGCUCUGCACGGGGGCAACAGCACCUGUCUGCACAGGGUGUGGAGAGUGAAGGAGGACAGCACAUGGCGGCCUCCAUGGAUGCCGGCCUCUCCCUGCUGCUUAGGAGCUCAAGAGAUCGGGGAGGUAUUCAGGAUGGGCAGAGAGGCGGCUCGGGUCACGUGUCCGCCCCGAACCCAAAGGGUGUCUCCUGCCUUUUUGUGGGCAAGGGGUUUGGCUUACCAGUGUAAAGUAUGACACAAUGAGCAAAGCCAAGUCCUCUGCCAGGCAGCCCCCACCCUGCAGCCCCCAGGGGCAGCCAGAUUUGCCAGGAAUGGGAAGUUGCAAAAUCAUCCUGACCAAAGGGACACCCAGCGACGCAGGCCCAACCCUCGGAGCCGAGAGCCGGGGCCAGGGGGCUGUGGGCCCAGCUUCUCUCCUCGGCCUCCGACUCCGUGAGCUAUGCUUAGUUCAGGGGCGAAAAGGAGCAAGUUCGUGAUUGUUUAUGGAGAAAAUUCCUUGCCAUUGUUGCCAAAGCAGCAGCCCGUUCACCAGAGUGUGAUGUCAACAUACUAAUCACCAUGAAAUGCACGCGGAUGGCCUGGAACACAGACGAGUAUUUUUAACCCAUCACUUAAACAAGAAAUCAAGCUUGGCGUGGUCACGCGGGACGUCACUGCUUCGCCUCCAGCGGCAGAGCGGCGUGCCAUGCUGACACGGGAUGGAUUUACGCUGCUCGCCCCCCCUUCCUGUGGACGCUAAUAGGGAAGAGUCACAACCAGCGUGACUGAGACCACGGCAGCCGCAUGCUGGGCAUCGUCCUAAGCCCUGUACGCGACUAUCUCGGUCAAACCCCGUAAGUGCUGGCAGUGAGGAUUUUUUUAUUACUCUCCCAGUUUACAGGGGGGAAGACGGAGGUUUAGAACAGCUAAGUGGCGCUGCUCAGAUCUAAGCCCGGGGCGGCCGAGUCCAGAACUCUUUCCUCCCCCCGCCAGCCUCUGCUCAGAGCACCGGACAUCAAGACAACGCCUUCUAACAAGACACAUGUUUGGGUCAGAUUUUCGUCCUCAGCAUGAGAAUUCAGGUUUCUGGUGGUUUCUGCCACCCGCACCGAGCCUCACACAGGCUCCGCCUACUUUACCCCUUCCCAGUGACUCACGGGCCCAGCCAGGGUCAGGUCGACCGGCCUCCCUUGCGCCGUUGUCCCCAUCAGCCCCUUCAAGGGAUGUGAAACCACAGACUUUAAGUCAUAAGGGGCAGGGUUUGGAGUGUAACUGCUGGGUCUCAAUCUUGGGCAAGACCCUUCACCUCCAGAGUCUCAAUUUCUGGGGGUGGGAACCAGUGGGAAUGUAGGUACAGCCCCGAGCUGAAGGUGAGCACAGAGCAGGUGCUGAAAUAAAGGGGGCUAUGGCUGUGGCACAGGAGGCCCGAGGCAGGAGAAAACACGACAUUCAGACGCUGCCUCCUUGGUCCAGCACACAACACCUCCGCACCCUCAGCCCCAUGGUGCCAGGCGCUGGCGUUCGCAUAUAUUCGUGAAGUGUUCCUGAAAACCCCAUGACGUGCCUUCUACUGUUAUCCCAGCUUCAAACAGAGAGGGGACCGCUUGCCCCCGGUCAGCGUGGAGCCGGCCAUCUUUCAAUAAUGCAACCUGCUUCUGCUAGCUGGGUAUACAGGAGAAAACCCAAAGGAACUGAGAAUAUUGAAAUGGUUCUACCAUUUCCAUCUUGGAGACAAAUGUGCCUCUCAGAGGAGAGCCGGAUGCAAGCAUGUGACUCUGCCUAACGACCGUCUACACAUAAGAGACGACACACACACUCCAGUGAUGUCUUACGCAAACAGGGAAAACACUGACCGGCGGGUCUGACCCCAGGCUCCUUCCCUCCUCUCGGCUCUCGUUCCUCAGAGUUGUCACGUGGGCUGGAGUCUUGGAUUUCUUUCUUUUUUAUUAGGAAAACAUCCAAACCAUGUGGAACCAGGCGGCCGAAUGGGGCCUCGCUUAUCAGGCACAACAGAAUGUAUCCUGAUCCUUGCUCUAAACCUGGAAGAGGCUCCUUGGAUGUUUCCCCAAACCCCUCCUCAUGACAAAUAAGCAGGAGGAGGAGAGGGAAAGGAGACUCUGGGCCUAUCCCCCAACCUCCACCUUUUAAAAACGGAAGCAUUUUAAAACAUUGAGGCCGAAUUGUUUCAUCUGUCACUUAAAACCUUCCGGCUUAGAGAACACAAGGAGGUGUUGGUCAUACGUGAUUUGAAGCAAAAAACACGUUAAAAGUGAGUUUCUUUUUCUAAGGAAUAAAUCUGAGCGACACGGAAGUGUUUUCCUUGGAGGCCCCCCCAACACCUAGGUACCCCCCCCCCGCCCCCCGUCCCCGCCAGAUCCUGGGACCGCAGACCCGGGCCCCACCUGCCCCCAACUCUGGCAGCUUGCUUACCUCUUUUUCAAUUUCUGCCAGAGAUUUGAUGGUGAUUCCCAAGAGAUCAAAGGGCUGCAUCUGUAAACACAGAUCAAGGCAUCCUUUUAAACGGCUGGAAAAUGCUGUUUCACAUUCGCUUUUAUGCAUGACGACGGUGACAUCUCAAACCACCCUAUGUGAUCUAGCGUUUUCUCUAUUCUCUUUCAGUGGAAACCCACCAGGACUCUAGUGAUCACUGAGGGUACAGGGGUGAGCGACGGGAGCACAUAUUGCAGAAAACCUGGCUGACAACAGGGCUGGCCCCUGCUGGCAGGGACCCUGCCUGGUCAUGUCGACAGCACCCAGCAAGGUCACAGCCCUCCUAAAAGACAGUGACUGUCACUGAUCACUUCCGCCUCUUCUCCAUGCCCGUGUCAAAAGCCGGUUUGCUCCUUCCACAGCUGGGGGGCCGGAGGGGCACAGGGCUUCACCACAUGCUACCCUGACUGCUCCAUCUACGUGGUGGGAUGGGUCUAAGCAGUUCCAGGAGGCAGGAUGGUCAGUCUCUUGUCUGGGACUCCUUGACAUCCAGGGAAGGAGCCGGAGGGAGUUCUAGGCCUCUGGAAAUGCAAGGGGAAUGAAGGACAUGCCCAUCAAUUAUCAUUUGAGAAAUGAGAAAUGAUCAGUCGUGGUGAAAACUGGUAACACUGCACUUUAAUGGGCGUUUCUAGAAGUUCAUGAAGAUGGGAACUUUUUCUGAGGACGCUGGCUUUUCAACAGACGACAUGAAAAAUCAAAUGUACAUGGCAACAAGGGUCAGCUGGAAGCCUGGAGAAGUCUGGGCUGAACGCAUGGUGAGAGGGGACCUGGUCCCUGGGGCCCCUGCUCUGAGCCCUCUCUGGGCACAUCGGGCGUUUCAUAUUCCCGAGGGGGGGGGGGGUUCCGAAAACAGGCAGCCGGGACGAACAGGUGAAACCGGGGUCUCAGACAAAAGCCCAGGCCUUCGUGGUUCCCAGCCACAGCCCAGAGGUGGGGCUUCCUCUCCUGUUUCGGAGCAGGGUGGCGGGGCUGGGCUGGCGGGGGAGGUUAAAGGACAGAGCACAGGGGGUGUGCGGCACGGGGCUUGGCCCAAGCCACCGGGCCUCGGGCACGUGCUGAGUCGGCAGCGCCGGGCAGCAGCGAGCUGGCGAGGGCGAUCUUGGGGCAGGGCCACCGAAGUCGGCACUCCGCUCCCGGGGCUGCGCUGCCAGGAGCCACAAAACAGCCCCGCUCUCCCCCGCUGCCAGCCCGAGUGGCAAGAACAGGGCUGCUUGCCCGCCAUCCAGCAGAGGUCCAGCUGUUGCAUCAUUAGGCUCUAACUGCCCCACUAAACUUUCCCGAUUGGAGCCGGUGCGCAGGACAGAACAGCCUCUCCGAGGGAGCGAGGGAGCGGGGCGGGAGAGGCGCCAGCGUUGCCAUGGCAACGCGGCCAAGUGGCGUCGGCUGAAGUUACUCAUGCUCCGCAAGUCACGUCACGAGCAUUUUUCAAGAUUAAGCUGCUUACCAGAAGGGUUCAGAGGAGGCCUAUUAUAUUUCAUGAAAAUGGAAACUACAGAGCAGGUCAAAUCGCAAGCCGGGUGGUUUUAAGCUGGAUCCAAGAAAUACACUGAAGGAUUCUUUAGCUGGUGCCCAAACUGGGGCCCUCACGGUUAUUAGCUACUCGAAGCAAAGUUCUGCAAAAAGGAUUUAAAAAGCCCUGAAACAAGUCUAUCGAGCCUGCACGGGCCAGGCCUGUAACAGUUGAGGGCGGGGGCUCUGCACCCAAGGUGGGGGGGCACCAUCUGACAGGGUCCCAGGAGUGCCAGGUGGGGUGGGCUCCCCCCCCAGUCUGGGAUCGGGCCUUCAGGCCCCCAGCCAGCCCCCUCAGGCCCCCUGUCAUCAGAGAUAGCUCAGGGGCCCCGGCUGGCCGGUGCAUAGCAUGGGGUUCCUGGGGGCCCACAGUGAGCGGGAGAGCACAGCCACAGGCACACACACUAGCCGGCCGGCCCUGCCAUUCCGAGGCCUCCCUCCAAUCCAGAGCAGAGAGUGUGGUUAUCGCAGCAUCCGGCAAUGACCAUGGAAAAACCAGGCAGCCUUCUUUCUGUAAAAUGUCGUCACGGUUAAAUAAAAAAAAAACAAAAAUGAAGUUGAACCUGGGGGCGCCUGGGUGGCUCAGUCGGUUAAGCAUCCGACUUCAGCUCAGGUCGUGAUCUCCUAGUUUCCGAGUUUGAGCCCCACAUCGGGCUCUGCGCUGUCCUGACCUUCGGACCCUCUCUGUCCCUCCCUCUCUCAAAAAUGAA